CUACUAUCACCGGAACCCAGUCCGGGUAUUUCUUUCGGAUCUUCUCGCCCUCAGAGCGGCAAGAAAAGGAACAGAGAC
Callorhinus ursinus (northern fur seal) is the source of this 78-nucleotide non-coding RNA. Lineage: Eukaryota; Metazoa; Chordata; Mammalia; Carnivora; Otariidae. The record is from RefSeq and is a predicted model, not a curated record.